GCCCGAGUGGUGAAAUUGGUAUACACGAUAGACUCAAAAUCUAUUGGGAGCGAUCCCGUGUCGGUUCGAGUCCGACUUCGGGCA
Acanthaster planci (crown-of-thorns starfish) is the source of this 84-nucleotide non-coding RNA. NCBI's taxonomy places the organism in Eukaryota, Metazoa, Echinodermata, Asteroidea, Valvatida, Acanthasteridae. The record is from the annotation of a RefSeq genome assembly.